RNAcentral lists this ribosomal RNA (301 nucleotides) under uncultured bacterium. RNAcentral describes it as "partial 16S ribosomal RNA". It matches the Rfam family "Bacterial small subunit ribosomal RNA", at positions 509 to 807 of the family's 1533-position model. The record is from RNAcentral.
CAGCCGCCGCGGUAAUACGAAGGGUGCAAGCGUUACUCGGAAUUACUGGGCGUAAAGCGUGCGUAGGUGGUGGUUUAAGUCCGUUGUGAAAGCCCUGGGCUCAACCUGGGAAUUGCAGUGGAUACUGGGUCACUAGAGUGUGGUAGAGGAUAGUGGAAUUUCCGGUGUAGCAGUGAAAUGCGUAGAGAUCGGAAGGAACAUCUGUGGCGAAGGCGACUAUCUGGGCCAACACUGACACUGAGGCACGAAAGCGUGGGGAGCAAACAGGAUUAGAUACCCCAGUAGUCCCUGUCUCUUAUAC